CGUCAUCUUCAGUCUCAAAUCAGUUCUUUUUGUCGUCUUUAUCUUCAAUGUAGAUAAGGUUGCAAUCGGUUCAGUUUCCUCUGGCAAAACAGAAAAUUACCCUUUCGGUUUCCAUGGAGCAUUGAAUCUACAAACUCUACAUCUCCCCCCAUCUUAACCGAGUCAACCAUUGAUGCAUCUUCCUUCUUAUAUAUAUAUCAUGGUAAAAACGGAAUCCCUUCAUCUCAAAUACAGUCUUCGCCGUUAUAGAUUAUACCAACUUUUCCAAAGUAUCUGUCUGUGGUGCUCGAGUUCCGCCGUCGUCCUCUACUCAACGUUGGAUUCACUCUGUCUUGGUCGCACUUCUCAGUCUGUUUUCGGUUGGCUUUUCCGCUUUUGGGAUUCCCGUAACACCAAAACUGUGAAUUUAGGGGAAUCACUCAUCUCUUUCUAGAUGAAAAGUUUCAUCCGAGGAAGAUAUUCUUUUUAAGAAGGAAAUAUCAGUGUUCUCUGUAGAGAUUGGACAUAGGAGUUUUCUAAUGAAGAAUCCACAUUCGUUUGCUCAGAAAGAGGUGACUAAAACCAACUAACUCUCUUCUGAGAACAAAUCAUUCAUCAGUGAAUCAGUGAUACAUACUCACACUCCUUGAAGCGUGUUGAUAUUGGCGAAAUAAGAGAAAUUCAGUGUAUGUUUGAAAAGAAAUAAAGCAAGAGCAGCUCAAGAGGAACAAGACUAAAACUGGAAGCGUGCUUGUCCUUCGGAGCCAUAAUUCACCACUUUGUAGUAUAGAUUUCAAGCUUUAACGAGUUCAUAGAUCAAUUCACCAAGGAAGAAACUGAUAAAACCACUUCCUCAUAUUGACUAUGUUACCCUCCCUGAUAGCUGGUACACCGAUCAUUGAGCCUCUCAAGGAUAUUAGAAUCCAAUUACAAUUCCAGAAACAAAAACUCUCCCUUUGAAGUCAAAGCAUCCAAUCAAGUAUCCCACAACAGUAUGUAGCAACCUGCCGGUUCCAAUGAAGUUAGAGAAAAGUUAUUAAGAGCAACGUGCUCAUCUGGAUUGUUAAGAGCAAUGAAAUCACUAAUUGUUCUCUCUAUUUUUUUUUUAAAUUCCAUUUGUUUAGAUGGAAUUAUUCUUUAUUAUGUUUGACAUACAAAUUUCCUUUUCUAAUAAUCCAGAAAAACUUUUGAUAUAUAUAAUUAAAGAAAAAGUUAAAUCCAUAUUU
Raphanus sativus (radish) is the source of this 1205-nucleotide long non-coding RNA. RefSeq lists it as uncharacterized. The transcript is spliced from 4 exons. The record is from RefSeq and is a predicted model, not a curated record. Lineage: Eukaryota; Viridiplantae; Streptophyta; Magnoliopsida; Brassicales; Brassicaceae.